RNAcentral lists this small RNA (815 nucleotides) under Pan troglodytes (chimpanzee). RNAcentral's name for it is "processed transcript". Lineage: Eukaryota; Metazoa; Chordata; Mammalia; Primates; Hominidae. The record is from RNAcentral.
GCUGUCUGAAGAUAGAUCGCCAUCAUGAACGACACUGUAACUAUCCGCACUAGAAAGUUCAUGACCAACCGACUCCUUCAGAGGAAACAAAUGGUCAUUGAUGUCCUUCACCCCGGGAAGGCAACAGUGCCUAAGACAGAAAUUCGGGAAAAACUAGCCAAAAUGUACAAGACCACACCGGAUGUCAUCUUUGUAUUUGGAUUCAGAACUCAUUUUGGUGGUGGCAAGACAACUGGCUUUGGCAUGAUUUAUGAUUCCCUGGAUUAUGCAAAGAAAAAUGAACCCAAACAUAGACUUGCAAGACAUGGCCUGUAUGAGAAGAAAAAGACCUCAAGAAAGCAACGAAAGGAACGCAAGAACAGAAUGAAGAAAGUCAGGGGGACUGCAAAGGCCAAUGUUGGUGCUGGCAAAAAGAUGAGGGAAUUGGGGCUUGGAGUGCAAGCAUUGGGAAGAAUUUCCCAGGAAGAGAGAUGCACAGAUGUGAAGAACUCGAAGGCAAGAGAAAGCCGGGGGGUUGUGUGGCAGGUAGAAGUGCCAGGACCAUGGAGCGUGUGGACAUGUGGCAGAUUGUGGAGGGGCUGUGGCAAGUAUUUACAGGUGGCCGUUACCUGGAGGAGGACUGAAAACAGAGAACAGUGCUGCCAGGCGUGCCUUUUGGAGAGGGCACUGGUCAGAAACGGAGCCUUCAUGUCGCCUGCCUCACCUGCUCCUGCUGGUUCUCCCCACCCUGUGGACGGUGACUUGGUCCUCCACUUGCCAGAAGCCUUGUCAGCAACCUUGACUCUGUCACCCCACAUCCAGGCCAUCAACAAGUC